Molecule: ribosomal RNA, 433 nt
Filed under: uncultured bacterium
Lineage: Bacteria
Description: partial 16S ribosomal RNA
Rfam family: Bacterial small subunit ribosomal RNA
Source: RNAcentral
AACGAACGCUGGCGGCAUGCCUAACACAUGCAAGUCGAACGAGACCUUCGGGUCUAGUGGCGCACGGGUGCGUAACGCGUGGGAACCUGCCCUUAGGUUCGGAAUAACUCCCCGAAAGGGGUGCUAAUACCGGAUAAUGUCUUCGGACCAAAGAUUUAUCGCCUUUGGAUGGGCCCGCGUUGGAUUAGCUGGUUGGUAGGGUAAAAGCCUACCAAGGCGACGAUCCAUAGCUGGUCUGAGAGGAUGAUCAGCCACACUGGGACUGAGACACGGCCCAGACUGCUACGGGAGGCAGCAGUGGGGAAUAUUGGACAAUGGGCGAAAGCCUGAUCCAGCAAUGCCGCGUGAGUGAUGAAGGCCUUAGGGUUGUAAAGCUCUUUUACCCGGGAUGAUAAUGACAGUACCGGGAGAAUAAGCUCCGGCUAACUCCGUG